RNAcentral lists this ribosomal RNA (460 nucleotides) under uncultured bacterium. Its description in RNAcentral is "partial 16S ribosomal RNA". It matches the Rfam family "Bacterial small subunit ribosomal RNA", at positions 338 to 795 of the family's 1533-position model. The record is from RNAcentral.
CCUACGGGAGGCAGCAGUGAGGAAUAUUGGUCAAUGGACGAGAGUCUGAACCAGCCAAGUAGCGUGAAGGAUGACUGCUCUAUGGGUUGUAAACUUCUUUUAUAUGGGAAUAAAACGUUCCACGUGUGGGAUUUUGUAUGUACCAUAUGAAUAAGGAUCGGCUAACUCCGUGCCAGCAGCCGCGGUAAUACGGAGGAUCCGAGCGUUAUCCGGAUUUAUUGGGUUUAAAGGGAGCGUAGGUGGAUUGUUAAGUCAGUUGUGAAAGUUUGCGGCUUAACCGUAAAAUUGCAGUUGAAACUGGUAGUCUAGAGUACAGUAGAGGUAGGCGGAAUUCGUGGUGUAGCGGUGAAAUGCUUAGAGAUCACGAAGAACUCCGAUUGCGAAGGCAGUUCACUGGACUGCAACUGACACUGAGGCUCGAAAGUGUGGGUAUCAAACAGGAUUAGAUACCCUAGUAGUC